ACUGGGGGGGGGGAUCUCUCUGCCUGGAUUGCGAGAGGGCACAGGCCAGGCCAAGGGACCACACCAGUGCACA
RNAcentral lists this microRNA precursor (73 nucleotides) under Myotis brandtii (Brandt's bat). RNAcentral's name for it is "mir-9193 microRNA precursor family". It matches the Rfam family "mir-9193 microRNA precursor family". The record is from Rfam by way of RNAcentral. Lineage: Eukaryota; Metazoa; Chordata; Mammalia; Chiroptera; Vespertilionidae.